UUUGAUCAUGGCUCAGAACGAACGCUGGCGGCGUGCCUAACACAUGCAAGUCGACGGGAAAGCCCGCAAGGGUGAGUACAGUGGCGCACGGGUGCGUAACACGUGGGUAAUCGCCCAGAAGCCCGGAAUAACUCCCCGAAAGGGGUGCUAAUGCCGGAUGAGACCACGGGGCUUCGGUUCCUGCGGGAAAAGGUGGCCUCUGCAUGCAAGCUAUCACUUCUGGAUGAGCCGCGGCCCAUCAGCUCGUUGGCGGGGUAACGGCCCACCAAGGCUACGACGGGUAGCUGGUUGAGAGGACGAUCAGCCACACUGGAACUGAGACACGGUCCAGACUCCUACGGGAGGCAGAGUGGGGAAUCUUGCGCAAUGGGCGAAAGCCUGACGCAGCAACGCCGCGUGUGUGAUGAGGUCUUCGGAUCGUAAAGCACUGUCGGGAGGGACGAAUAAGGGCCGGGUGAACAAUCCGUCUGAUGACGGUACCUCCAAAGGAAGCACCGGCUAACUCUGUGCCAGCAGCCGCGGUAAU
This 526-nucleotide ribosomal RNA is filed under the name uncultured delta proteobacterium. RNAcentral describes it as "bacterial SSU rRNA". It matches the Rfam family "Bacterial small subunit ribosomal RNA", at positions 12 to 524 of the family's 1533-position model. The record is from RNAcentral. Lineage: Bacteria; Deltaproteobacteria.